RNAcentral lists this long non-coding RNA (1024 nucleotides) under Citrus x clementina. RNAcentral describes it as "Citrus clementina (C. clementina) long non-coding RNA (CCLE_LNC006410)". The record is from RNAcentral. Lineage: Eukaryota; Viridiplantae; Streptophyta; Magnoliopsida; Sapindales; Rutaceae.
GUUGAGACUUCACCUUCAACCCAAGCUUGAAAGAAAAUUAGCCACUCAUAAUUGAACUAGGGGCAAAAUGGAAAUUUAUUAAAAUACGAAGAAAAUACAAGAUGGAGAAGGAAUUACAGAAAAUGGAUCCCAAAAAUGGAUUCAGAGAUAUCAAAUUAGGGGGGGAGGCCCCCUUUUUAUAGAUACAUGGAGUAAAUCAUGGCCAUCGGAUUAAAAACAGUUUGGACGCUCAGGAUUGCGCCACGUCAUCAGUCAACAGUCCACGGUUUGACCACGCGGAUGAACAGUAACACGGUUUGACCCGACUUUGAACAGUAACGCGGUUUGACCCGGAUGAACAGUAACGCGGUUUGGUUGAAAAUAAUCCUGUGUGAUGCAUGCACCGUAUGCGAGAUUUUUCGUCCACUGAUAUGCUGCCACGUCACCAUCAACAGUACAUAAGAAUUUUAGUCCAACAGGAUCGUGACACCUCAUCAGUCAAUGCCACAUCAUCGGUCAAUGCCACGUCAUCAUCCGUCUAUGUGAACAGUGUCGUGAACAGUAACGUAGACAGUACCGUACGCGUGAAUAGUACCGUACAUGUGAAUAGUGCCAUUUUUCCUUUUAUGCUCCUCCUAAGGUUUUCGACCGUCCUGAGUUCAAAAGUGAUGUCCAUUUUGCCGUCUGAUCUCUCCUUUAUUGUGAAAUGACUAUAAUGCCCCUAAAAUACAUAAAAUACUUAAUUAAAAUAAAACACAUGUAAUUAAAUCACAAGAAGGUUAAAUAUAUAAAAGUAAGGGUUGUUAGUAAGACUUAAAAUGUAAAAUGACGGUUUUCUCCUUUAUAAAUAUGCAUUUUCUAACACUCAACACACCCCCCAACCAGCUUAUUGCUAGUCCCUAGCAAAUAAAGCGAAAACAAAAUUCAAAUUCAAAAUAUUUUUUUUUUAAUAGAAACACUCGUAUUUAUUCCAUCAGAUUAAUGAUAGCAAUCAAAUAAAAGUAUAAGCAUUAUCUCCAGUCUAAAGCAACAUCACACCCACAUC